AAUAGUUAAGAAUGUAAAUGCUUCAAAAUGUUUCACAGUUUUAGUUGACGAGACUACUGAUAUUUCUACUAUUGAACAAAUGGCUAUGUGUGUUCGAUAUGUUGACGAUAACGAUUGUAUCCAGUAGAGAUUCCUGAAAUUGAUUACUAUUAACAGUUUAACUGGUUGUGAUUUAGCUGAAUCAAUACUCAACAGUCUGAAUAGUUGUGAGAUUAAUUUAGAUUACUUAUAUGGUCAAGGAUAUGAAGGUGCAAGAAACAUGUCUGGCCAAUAUAAAGGUGUUCAGGCAAUUAUCAAAAAAAAUAUUCUUAAGUUAUAUAUGUGCACUGUGCAGCACACUCUCUGAACUUAGUAGUAUCAACUGCAAGUGGAAUUCAACCAAUUAGAAACUGCUUAGGUAUUAUCGAAAAGUACUAUGUUUUCUUUAAUACACCAAAAACCAAAAUGUUCUUUUAACCAACAUUGAAAAUAGUAAUGAGGAUCCUAAGGUUAAAACUUUAAAAAUAUUAUGUGCUACACGAUGGGUGCAGCGUUAUGAUGCGGCAACAGAUUUCAUUGAACUAUUUGCAUUUGUAGUUGAUUCAAUAGAAAAUAUUUCUAAUUGGAAUGAUUCCACAGCAACGGAAGCUAAUAUACUAUUAAAAGCUAUUGAUUCAGAAUUUCUUAUAUCCUUACAAGUUAUACAAGUGAUUUUUUUCUUUUGGUUUACCAUUGUGUAAGUUUCUACAAAAAGAACAAAUUGAUUUGAGAGAAGCAGUAAGCCUUGCUGAAGAUAUUAUAAAUGUAUUAAAAAAUAUCAGAUUAAAUUGUGAUACUGAAUUCCACAAAUUGUUUUUGCUUGCAAAAGGGAUGUCAGUAAAUAUAGAUAUAAUUUAAAUACUAAAAGAAUAUCUAAAUGACAAGUAAAUCGAGCAAAUCCAGAUCCCAAUUUAAGUGUUGAAGAAUACCACAAAGUGUCAGUAUUUAUACUCUUUUUAUACAACAACUAGGAGAAAGAUUUUCAAUCCAUUCUGAAAUUUUUAAAGGAUUUCAAAGUCUAUUUUCCUAUAAAUUAACUUCUAAUGAGGAGGUAUCAUUUAGAAAAUUACUUGAAUUUUAUUCACCUUCUUUGAAUGUGAACAACUCAAUUGCAGAAUUGAAAUUGUGGAAGAUAAAACUUGAGCGAAUAAACAAUAUUCCGAAAACUGCAAUUAAAGCAUUACAUGUGUGUAAUGCCAAUAUUUAUCCAAAUAUGCAUUUUAUUUUAAAAAUACUAUGCACACUUCCUGUUUCUACAAGUACGCCUGAAAGAAUGUGUUCCAGUCUUAAAAGGAUAAAAACGUAUCUUCGAAACAGUAUGUCCUAGAAAAGACUUAAUGGUCUGGCAAUUUUGGCAAUUCAUAAUAAU
Sipha flava (yellow sugarcane aphid) is the source of this 1387-nucleotide long non-coding RNA. RefSeq lists it as uncharacterized. NCBI's taxonomy places the organism in Eukaryota, Metazoa, Arthropoda, Insecta, Hemiptera, Aphididae. The transcript has 6 exons. The record is from RefSeq and is a predicted model, not a curated record.